CGUGUGCACAGUGAACCUGACAGGUGGUGUCAUCCACGCUGCUGUCACAGGGCCUGGGAGAUGAGGGCGCUGCCCUUGCGGGGCUGCCCCUUGGAGUCCUCCCAAAGUCAGCCACCUUCAAAUUCCUGCGUAGUCAGCUGUAACUUAGGUGAGUGCCGCAAGGCCUCCACGUGUGUUCAGAGUGUCCACACCAGACUCUGGCCGGACUCCGUGGGUCCUGGGACUCUGCAGCCCUCGACCUUGGCAGCCUCCUUGCCUUCGGGUGCUUGAAUGCCAUGCAGCAUCCGAUGCAACCCACGACCUUGAGUCUAUUAUGAGUCAAGUGUGGUCGCUGUAGAUAAGGAUG
This 346-nucleotide long non-coding RNA is filed under the name Pongo abelii (Sumatran orangutan). RNAcentral describes it as "lincRNA". Lineage: Eukaryota; Metazoa; Chordata; Mammalia; Primates; Hominidae. The record is from RNAcentral.